GAUGAAGAACGUAGCGAAAUGCGAUAAGUAAUGUGAAUUGCAGAAUUCAGUGAAUCAUCGAAUCUUUGAACGCACAUUGCGCCCGCUAGUACUCUAGCGGGCAUGCCUGUUCGAGCGUCAUUUCAACCCUCAAGCCCUGCUUGGUGUUGGGGUCCUACGGCUGCCGUAGGCCCUGAAAGACAGUGGCGGGCUCGCUAUAACUCCGAGCGUAGUAGUAACAUAUCUCGCUAGGGAGGUGUCGCGGGUUCCGGCCGUGAAAGCCCCAUCUUUUACACAAGGUUGACCUCGGAUCAGGUAGGAAUACCCGCUGAACUUAAGCAUAUCAAUAAGCGGAGGA
This 337-nucleotide unclassified non-coding RNA is filed under the name soil metagenome. RNAcentral's name for it is "partial contains 5.8S ribosomal RNA, internal transcribed spacer 2, and large subunit ribosomal RNA". The stretch from base 1 to 120 matches the Rfam family "5.8S ribosomal RNA", at positions 35 to 154 of the family's 154-position model. The record is from RNAcentral.